CUUGUAUGCAGAUUUCGGCAAAAUAUUAAAUAUGAAUCAUAUCUCCUGAUCAUGCUUAUCAUCUGUAUUUAUUUCAUUUUUGUUUUAAAUAUGAUAAAAGCGUAGCAUACCCUUGUCUGUAUGUACGUACCUCCCAAAGUUGGUUUCCGUUCUCCAACUUUAGUUUGCCUCAACGAAAUGUUAUGAAACUUGUACACAAUUCCAAUUACCACAAAACACAGAUCAAGUUUGAAUUUUAGUUGCUUCACACAUACAGUUCUAGAGUUGAGCCCCUUUACAAAUGGAAAAAAACAAACUUUUCUCUAAUUCUUUGACAAUUUAUACCUUUCUGCACUCAUUGAAAAAAAAAUUAAGUAUGGUUGCCUUCAAUCUCAGAAGAUGAUUGGAUGAGAUCAAGGGUCAUAACCUUAAUCCGCUU
RNAcentral lists this long non-coding RNA (418 nucleotides) under Mytilus galloprovincialis (Mediterranean mussel). Lineage: Eukaryota; Metazoa; Mollusca; Bivalvia; Mytilida; Mytilidae. The record is from RNAcentral.